This is a long non-coding RNA of Gasterosteus aculeatus aculeatus (three-spined stickleback), 1529 nucleotides long. The record is from Ensembl. Lineage: Eukaryota; Metazoa; Chordata; Actinopteri; Perciformes; Gasterosteidae.
GGCAGAGAGGGAAGGUCGGGGGAGCGGAUAGGCCGCGAGGUAAGAGGCGGAACUCCAAUGGUGCAUCGUCUUCCGGAUUCGAACCAUCUUACGACUUUAAACAAUGGUGCUACUGUGCGACACAGCUUAAAGAAAAAAACAGAAAAUUAAAAAAAAAAAAAAAAGACCCAAAUAAAUCUUACAUUUAUUCUUUGUUUGUCUUAAGAAGUACCUCAAAAUGAAAACAAGAGAAAUAUCCACUUAAAGGUGCAAUGAUGGAGGUGUGACAACAUUUCUUUCAUUCUUUCCCUUCCUUCGCGUUUCCUUUCCUCUUUAAAAAAAAAUAAUCACUUUUGAAAUUGUGAACCGUUUCUAGGCAGAAGAUCGCUUUUCUUUUCUGGUUUUUUUUAGUUUUUUUUUUUUUUUUAGCCUUAUUGAUUAGGAGUGGAUUACCAAAUCGGCACUUUGACUUCGGAACAUCCAAGAUGAGAGACGCACUGACGACGAGCUUUUCCUUAGUGAGGCGGACUUUUCUUUUUUGUUGUUGUUUCUACCAGCUCUUCAUUCACUCGCUCCUCCUCUCUCUUCCUCCGUCGUGUUUUCUGUGGUUCGGCGUUUGGUGGUAGUGACCGUGCUGUAGCCCCGCCUCCUCGCCACCGGCCCCAACGCCUUCUUUCUCUUUUUGUAAGUAAUAAAAUGUGUAUAUUGUGUAAAACACCUUCUCGUUCUUAGUGUAGACGGGCCUGAAUCGGUACCAGCUGUAUGUUAUAAGACACAUUUACAGGUUGUUGUUUUUUUGCUUACACACAAACAAACACUCACGCUCUCUCACACACACACACAUUAACGUCAACGCUCACUGACACACAUCCACUCAGAUAUUGUACAAAGUGAGGCUUUUAUGAAUGAAACAGUAUUUUAUAUAUAAUAAAUAUAUAUUUGAAAAAGAGGAUACAAAGGUAUAUGAACUUUAUUCGGCUGUGGGGAGAUUUGUUCGCUGUUUUUCAAACACAAAAGUCGGGCACUUCACUGAAUUCUAGAGCGCAGACGGGGCCACUUUCCACUUCCCAACACAACAGUCCUGUGUUAUAUUAACGACGCCAACCGCCUUUUGUACUCAAUUUGUAGAAUGUUGAACUGAAAUUAAGGGGAUUUUUAGAAUGUGUAAUGAUUGGGGGUCUUUACAGAUAAGAAGAAAAAAAAAGAUUUUAAUUGAAUCUUGGCCCCUUGAUUAGAAAACCUUUUUGUUUAGUGUGUUGGGCCCGUUUUUCACCUGAAAACCUUCAAAUCCACUUUGGCUCGGCAUUAAAUCCACGAUGGGUCGUGUUGUUCACGCUCGACCGCGUCGGAACGCAAGUGAAAGAAUCGGUGCUUUUAAACCAGCUCCUCUGUACGCAAAGUCUAAACUGCUUUUAUCAAUUCUAAUGACGUCAACCGGGGUGCGAUUAAAAAAAAGUGUAUUUGUUUUCUUUUGUUUAUUUUACAUGUUAUGUUAUCCAGAAGUUGUUAUAAACUUUUAAGACUGAAAUAAAUGCUAUGUCCAAAGUGAA